CAGCAGUAGCCGCGGUAAAACAGAGGGUGCGAGCGUUAAUCGGAUUUACUGGGCGUAAAGCGUGCGUAGGCGGCUUCUUAAGUCGGAUGUGAAAUCCCUGAGCUUAACUUAGGAAUUGCAUUCGAUACUGGGAAGCUAGAGUAUGGGAGAGGAUGGUAGAAUUCCAGGUGUAGCGGUGAAAUGCGUAGAGAUCUGGAGGAAUACCGAUGGCGAAGGCAGCCAUCUGGCCUAAUACUGACGCUGAGGUACGAAAGCAUGGGGAGCAAACAGGAUUAGAUACCCCCGUAGUCCCUGUCUCUUAUAC
RNAcentral lists this ribosomal RNA (304 nucleotides) under uncultured bacterium. Its description in RNAcentral is "partial 16S ribosomal RNA". It matches the Rfam family "Bacterial small subunit ribosomal RNA", at positions 506 to 807 of the family's 1533-position model. The record is from RNAcentral.